Molecule: ribosomal RNA, 369 nt
Filed under: uncultured Glomeromycotina
Lineage: Eukaryota; Fungi; Glomeromycota
Description: SSU rRNA
Rfam family: Eukaryotic small subunit ribosomal RNA
Source: RNAcentral
AGCAGCCGCGGUAAUUCCAGCUCCAAUAGCGUAUAUUAAAGUUGUUGCAGUUAAAAAGCUCGUAGUUGAAUUUCGAGAUCAAAUUGUUGGUCGUGCCUCGGUACGUACUGGUAAUUUUGGUUUCUCCCUUCUGAAGAACCAUGAUGUCAUUAAUUUGGUGUCUUGGGGAAUCAGGACUGUUACUUUGAAAAAAUUAGAGUGUUUAAAGCAGGCUCGCGCUUGAAUACAUUAGCAUGGAAUAAUGAAAUAGGACGUUUGAUUCUAUUUUGUGGUUUCUAGGAUCGACGUAAUGAUUAAUAGGGAUAGUUGGGGGCAUUAGUAUUCAAUUGUCAGAGGUGAAAUUCUUGGAUUUAUUGAAGACUAACUACU